Molecule: non-coding RNA, 1181 nt
Organism: Peromyscus maniculatus bairdii (prairie deer mouse)
Lineage: Eukaryota; Metazoa; Chordata; Mammalia; Rodentia; Cricetidae
Source: RefSeq, a predicted model, not a curated record
AAAUGCAGCAAGAUGUCUUGUUGGGACUCUCUUGUGGGUCUCACAACUCAGAAGCACCAAAUAUUCCACAUGAGUUCAUGGGCACUCUCCACCACAUGGCCAGUGAGCUGUGCAACAAGAAGAAAUGAUGACCAUAUAUGAACACUAAUGUAAACAUAUGUUUUGACCUCCAAGAACUCAGAGUGUUCCACUCCAUCAGCUGUAAAGAAACUGGUGUGACCCAGAGGAUGGCCAGACCCUCAAUGGUAAGAUAUGUAGGCAUGUCCCAGCAGCUCAAUUGAAAGAAGCUUUUGUCACUUAAAAAAAUAGUGUGAGUGGGCCUGAGCCUGACCCUGAAAGGCUGAGAGGAUUGCAAAAAGUAAUGUGGUGCUGAGAUGAUUCCUAACAAUGAAGCCUAUUGUUAUAUUUGGCCUGGGCCCAAAAUGAGGAGAGAUGUGGGCCAGGGCUACCCUAAAACCUGAAGAGUCCCAAGCCAAAAGAAGAAGAAAUGUAUAGAUAGGUCCUAUACCUAUCUAUAAACUUAAAGAGGCCCAGGCUGAAAAAAGAGAUGUGGGCCUGGGCCUAUCCCCAACCCUGAAGAGGCCUGGGCACAAACAAGAAGAGGUGUGGGUCUGGGCCUACUCUUGAACCUGAAGAGCAACAGCAGCAACAACAACAGAGGCAGCAACAACAGUAAUAGCAGCUACAACAACAAGAACAACAGCUACAACCACAGCUACAACAACAGCAGGAACAACAACAAUAUCAGCAGCUACACCAAAGCAGCAGCAGCAGCAGCAGCAGCAACAACCACCACUUCUGUUAGCUCCUUUCACAAGCUGAACUGCUGCUCACUCCUUCCUCCUAGACAAGACUUGACAGAGGUCAUACCUUCUCUCUUUGAGAACCAACGAGGAAAACUGAAAUGAAAUUAUAAAUAUAUAGAAAACAACUAUAAGAACCUGUUGUUUUAAUUCUGCUCUGCAUCUAUUAUACAGUAAUGCUUAUAAAAUUAGAAGAGAAAGAAUGAAACCAAAUAUAAACAGACAUACGCUAGAACAAGUAACAGCAAGACCCCAAGAAGCCAUAGCUGAGCACAGGAAUGCAUCUGUGUAAACCUGGCAAUUAGGAAGCUGAGUUCCAGUCCAGGCUGUGCUACAGAAUAAGGCUCAGACUCAAAAAACGUAAAUAAAUAUGUUUUG